GCGGCCUAUCAGCUUGUUGGUGGGGUAAUGGCCUACCAUGGCUUUGACGGGUAGCCGGCCUGAGAGGGUGUCCGGCCACACUGGGACUGAGACACGGCCCAGACUCCUACGGGAGGCAGCAGUGGGGAAUAUUGGACAAUGGGCGGAAGCCUGAUCCAGCAACGCCGCGUGAGGGAUGACGGCCUUCGGGUUGUAAACCUCUUUCGCCUGNGACGAAGC
This 219-nucleotide ribosomal RNA is filed under the name uncultured Actinomycetes bacterium. RNAcentral's name for it is "uncultured actinobacterium partial 16S ribosomal RNA". It matches the Rfam family "Bacterial small subunit ribosomal RNA", at positions 233 to 451 of the family's 1533-position model. The record is from RNAcentral. Lineage: Bacteria; Bacillati; Actinomycetota; Actinomycetes.